Molecule: ribosomal RNA, 432 nt
Filed under: uncultured bacterium
Lineage: Bacteria
Description: partial 16S ribosomal RNA
Rfam family: Bacterial small subunit ribosomal RNA
Source: RNAcentral
AACGAACGCUGGCGGCAUGCCUAACACAUGCAAGUCGAACGAAGGCUUCGGCCUUAGUGGCGCACGGGUGCGUAACGCGUGGGAAUCUGCCCUUUGGUUCGGAAUAACAGCUGGAAACGGCUGCUAAUACCGGAUGAUGACGAAAGUCCAAAGAUUUAUCGCCAGAGGAUGAGCCCGCGUUGGAUUAGGUAGUUGGUGGGGUAAAGGCCUACCAAGCCGACGAUCCAUAGCUGGUCUGAGAGGAUGAUCAGCCACACAGGGACUGAGACACGGCCCAGACUCCUACGGGAGGCAGCAGUGGGGAAUAUUGGACAAUGGGCGCAAGCCUGAUCCAGCAAUGCCGCGUGAGUGAUGAAGGCCCUAGGGUUGUAAAGCUCUUUUACCCGGGAAGAUAAUGACUGUACCGGGAGAAUAAGCCCCGGCUAACUCCGU